CAGAGUUCAUGCCCUUACGGGUAGAUCUCCCACCCUAUGUUAUCGUUACCUUUGUUGCUUUGGCGGGCCGCCAGGCCUUGGUCAGGCUACCGGCUCCGGCUAGUAAGCGCCCGCCAGAGGACCCAAACUUCUGAAUAUUAGUGUCGUCUGAGUACUAUAUAAUAGUUA
This 168-nucleotide unclassified non-coding RNA is filed under the name uncultured Helotiales. RNAcentral describes it as "sequence contains ITS1". The record is from RNAcentral. Lineage: Eukaryota; Fungi; Ascomycota; Leotiomycetes; Helotiales.